GCGUGAGUGAUGAAGGCCUUAGGGUUGUAAAGCUCUUUCGCUAGGGAAGAUAAUGACGGUACCUAGUAAAGAAGCCCCGGCUAACUUCGUGCCAGCAGCCGCGGUAAUACGAAGGGGGCUAGCGUUGUUCGGAAUUACUGGGCGUAAAGCGCGCGUAGGCGGCUCAUUAAGUCAGGGGUGAAAUCCCGGGGCUCAACCUCGGAAUUGCCUUUGAUACUGGUGAGCUUGAGUCCGAGAGAGGUGAGUGGAACUCCGAGUGUAGAGGUGAAAUUCGU
This 275-nucleotide ribosomal RNA is filed under the name uncultured bacterium. RNAcentral's name for it is "partial 16S ribosomal RNA". It matches the Rfam family "Bacterial small subunit ribosomal RNA", at positions 399 to 691 of the family's 1533-position model. The record is from RNAcentral.